This 506-nucleotide ribosomal RNA is filed under the name uncultured bacterium. RNAcentral's name for it is "bacterial SSU rRNA". It matches the Rfam family "Bacterial small subunit ribosomal RNA", at positions 16 to 507 of the family's 1533-position model. The record is from RNAcentral.
AUCAUGGCUCAGGAUGAACGCUAGCUACAGGCUUAACACAUGCAAGUCGAGGGGAAACGACAUCGAAAGCUUGCUUUUGAUGGGCGUCGACCGGCGCACGGGUGAGUAACGCGUAUCCAACCUGCCCACCACUUGGGGAUAACCUUGCGAAAGUAAGACUAAUACCCGAUGAUAUCUCUAGAAGACAUCUGAAAAGGGGAUUAAAGAUUCAUCGGUGAUGGAUGGGGAUGCGUCUGAUUAGCUUGUUGGCGGGGUAACGGCCCACCAAGGCAACGAUCAGUAGGGGUUCUGAGAGGAAGGUCCCCCACAUUGGAACUGAGACACGGUCCAAACUCCUACGGGAGGCAGCAGUGAGGAAUAUUGGUCAAUGGGCGAGAGCCUGAACCAGCCAAGUAGCGUGCAGGACGACGGCCCUAUGGGUUGUAAACUGCUUUUAUAAGGGAAUAAAGUGAGUCUCGUGAGACUUUUUGCAUGUACCUUAUGAAUAAGGACCGGCUAAUUCCGUG